UCUCCGUUGGUGAACCAGCGAAGGGAUCAUUACCGAGUUUACAACUCCCAAACCCAAUGUGAACCAUACCAAACUGUUGCCUCGGCGGGGUCACGCCCCGGGUGCGUCGCAGCCCCGGAACCAGGCGCCCGCCGGAGGGACCAACCAAACUCUUUCUGUAGUCCCCUCGCGGACGUUAUUUUUACAGCUCUGAGCAAAAAUUCAAAAUGAAUCAAAACUUUCAACAACGGAUCUCUUGGUUCUG
RNAcentral lists this unclassified non-coding RNA (244 nucleotides) under plant metagenome. RNAcentral describes it as "partial contains small subunit ribosomal RNA, internal transcribed spacer 1, and 5.8S ribosomal RNA". The record is from RNAcentral.